CACAAAUAAAAUAAUACAAGCUUCAUAUUACAAGCCAGGGGCCUCGAGGGCUAGAAUACAGAAGCUCAAUAAACACACGAGUCAGCGGAAGCAACAAUAUCUGAGUACAGACAUAAAACAUGUGGUGCCUUAGAGAAGGCUAGCACAAAAGAUACAACGAUCGAAUGAGGCGAGGCCUCCUUCCUGGGAACCUCCUAACUACUCAUGGUCUUCAGCGGCCUCCAUGAAGAAGUCACCAACGGGCUGGCAGGCGUCGGCAGGAAACUCCAUCUCCUGGGCUCCAUCAUCUGGUCGCAGCAUCGAAUCAAGGGGACAAAGGGGGAGCAAAGCAACAGUGAGUACUCAUCCAAAGUACUCUUAAGUCUUGCAUCAUAACUAUUCUAAGUAUGCAACAGUAUGAAAGAAGGGGGGUUAUAUGUGGACUGACUGCAGCAAUGCGAGAAUAGAGAGAGAAAAGCCUAGUCCUAUCAAAGACUAUCAUCUUCAGGGUCUUGCAGCAAUAGAAGACAUUAGUGCAACGUAACACAAUUAUUAUAGUCAUAUUGUUGCAUCAAUAUUAAAAUAAUGAGGUCACGCCCACAUAUCCUGUAAUGCCCCAAGAGUGUAACUUGCCUUAUUUGAAACCUUCUGUAUGUGGGUCCAUCUUGUGUGUGCCAUGAGAGUUCAAUGCAUGUGUUAUUUCAUGUGAUGUCACCUUGUCUUAUUUCCUUUUGCAUUCAUGCAUCCAUUCAUCCAUGCCUAUUUGUGUUUGUUGUUCUUGUGAUCCAUGUUGUGGUGUGUCAUGUGAUGAUGUGAUGUUGAUAUGUCAAGUGAGGUGGGUGUUGUUUGAAAGUAGGAAGCUACUAUGUUGGGCUGCACUAGGUUUCAAAACUUCUUCCUCUCUUUUAUCUCAAGGUCAAGAUUCACUUGUUCCAUCCUUGAUUCAAAAGUGCCCAUGUUUUAGUAUGUUUUGUGGUGGAUGUGAUGCUAUGUUUUUGUUCUUUUGAAACUGUGUUUUAGUGGUGCAAAUAAUCACAAAACAGAUCCAUUAAUUCUGUUUUGUAAAUAUUUAAAUGCUCCAAAAAUUCCUUUUCCAUUUUAUUUAAAUAGGUCAUAAUUCCUUAUGACCGGGGGUAUUUUUGCUUUAUUUUUAGCAUCAACGGUUUAGCUUGUGUUAUUUUUUGUCUGCGUUGGUUUUAAAUAAGAAACCCCCCUGGGUUUCUUUUCCCUGAUCAGGCGCCAGCAUGGGCCUCUUGCCCCCUCCCGAGGCCCAUCUCUCCUCUUUGUUUCCCCGUGGCACCCCACCGCGCGCUCCUUCUUCUUUCUCCUGACGGCGUCGUCUCGUGCAUGCUUUCCGUCAAAGGCUUUAGAGAGAGUGCGAGAGAAGUUGACGGCUUGCAUCCCAUCCGCGGCCAUAUAUCCUCGGCGUGCGUGCCUAGUACCUAGGGUUUAGUGUUUCUCCCUCCUAGCGCCGCCACCUCCCUCCAUCUCCUUCUUCCUCCCCAGGUAAGAUCUGUAGAUCGGGGUAGCAGAGGUAGCAGUAGCACGUCGCCGUCGUCCACCGCACGUCCAUCGCCUCCGGCGCCGGCCAACAUGUCAGGGAGCUCGGGGAAGGCCUCCGCGUUCCAUUCCCGUCGUCUUUGAGGUCGGUACGCGACCACAUCGACGGGCAGGACCUCCUUUCCGGCGUGGUCCCGGCGUUCCCAUUCCCCUUCUCCGGUUCUGCAUCAGGUCGUCGUUAGUUUGUCUACAGGCGACUCUCUUCGUUCGCGACCCCACUCUUCUCCUUCCUCCUGGUGAGCCUAGAUCCUUCCUCCCAUCCCCCUCUUUAGAUUCGGCCUAGAUGCUCGUGGGCGUGCCUCUCUGAUCGGAGAGGAGAACGGCAGUACUUGGCAAUGCAUGUGUGUUCUUGUGUGGUGUGCUCUGCUUGUCCCGAUGCUCACGGCAGCUGAUCCAACGCGGUAGGGGAGGUAACCGUAGAGGAUCCCCUCUGGCGCAGCAGUAGUGGUAGAAGGCCAUGCUCCGGUGAGCGUCGCUGUGUCGUCUCUGUUACAGGAGCAGAGAGGGGUACCCAAUAGGGAAACCCCCUCUUCUCUAUUAAGUUUUGUAGCGCAGCGUAGUGGUUUGCAGUGUGGUGUGUUGAUCAGGCGGUCGAGGUAUCGACACCCCGCGGAGCCACCCCCUUUUUUGUGAUUUGUUUCGGCACAGUAGCGCAGGGGGAUGGCUUACCCUGCUUGAUUUCCCUGUUCUGUCGAGCAGAGGAGCAGUAGCAGAGUGGUGUGCUUCUGUGUGUUGUACAGGGGGUCUUGGGUUCGAUUCCCCACCCAAGCCCUUUUAUUUUUUGCAUUUCCUUUGCUUUUUUUUUGCUUGCUAGUUUAUUGUUGUGGCAUGCUAGGUUAGUAUAUAUGGUAUUUUUGCUUGCCUCCUACCAGUAGGUUGCCUAGUUAUUUUGCUAGUAUGUGUAGUGAUGAUUGUGUAGGCUUUGUGUGCAUGAUGUAUGUGUGAGCUAGAUCAUGUAUAUGUGUGUGUAUGCACUAGGAUGUAUGUGUAGAUGGAUGUCACCAUGUAUAUGUGGGGUGUCACUCAUGUGCAUGAUGAUAAGCUUAUGCACUAGCUUGUGCAAGUGUGUGUGUAUGUGUGUGUGUGGGUUCCUCCCCCACAUACUUUGUGUGUAGUGUAGGUAUUCAUAUGAUGUUGUGCGUGCUUGCGUGUGUGUGUCACACACAUGCCCAAGGCAUGGUGUGCCUUGAUAAGCACAUAUGUGCAAGUUUAUAUGUGUAGGCGUAUGAGUGCAUGUUGAGAGUGUAAGUAGUGUGUGUGAUUCUAACUAGCAUGUGUAGGUGCUUAUUAUGUUUGUGCUUGAUGUAAGUGUGUGUGUGUGAUGGUUUGAUAAGGCCCAUGAACAUGGGGUCUACCCCUCAUGUGCACCAUUGGAUAUGUGAGUGUGUGUACAAGUGGAUGUGAGGUGAUGAGCUAGUGGAAGCACAUGUGAUGAAGCACUAUUCACCUCCAUGUGAUUCCAUGUAUAGUUUCUUCUCAGCUUUGUGUUCUUCUGUUCUAUGAAAGUACCUAGGUAUUAUAUAUUCUUUUGGGUAGAAUCAUCCCAGGAAUCCAAUGGUGGGUUCAUAUUCCACUUUGGAACAUUAUCUGGGAAUGUCAUAUUUCUGUUUUGUUCAAUGUUUAGAGCUUGGUUCCAUGUGAUUGAUGAGCCCAAGAGGUUGAUUCCUUGUUGUGGCAGUAGAGGGUGAACCCCUCUAUAGCAUGGUGGUGUUGUUUCAUGCUUAGGAGUUUAUAUGUGCAAGUUGUGCCUAGUCAAAGUAGGCAUGUGGCUGAAAAUUCCAGUUUAGUGAAAAUCUGUGAUUUUCACUAAGUCUGAGAGACUGCUGUUAUUUUCUUCCCUUGUAGUUGUGCUUGUAUAAGUUUAAGUGUUGGGAAUCAGCCCAGCACAAGUAGGAUUGCCAUCAAUGUCAAGGACAAUGAAAUCCAUGGGUACAUAGUUCCUAUUUGCAAUAAUAAGAACAUGAUUGAUCCUUCCCAUGGGUUUCUUGACAGUAGAAUCCGCAAAAUGCAAAUUAAGAGAACACUCUUCAAGCUCAUUAAAACCCAGAACAUCACAUGAAGACUUUGGAAUCGUGGAAACACUAGCACCCAAAUCACACAAAGCAUUGCAUUCAUAGUUUUUUAUUUUGAUUAUGAUAGUAGAUUCCCACUUAUCAUGAAGCUUUCUAGGGAUAGAGACUUCCAAUUCAAGUUUCUCUUCAAGAGAUUUUAUCAUAGCUUCGACGAUAUGAUCGGUAAAUGCCUUGUUUUGGCUAUAAGCGUGUGGAGAGUUUAGCAUGGAUUGCAUCAAGUACAUGCAUUCAAUCAAGGAGCAACUAUCAUAAUUGAAUUCGUUGAAAUCGAAAGUAGUAAUUUUAUUACUACUCAAAGUUUUAAUAUCUUCUACUCCACUUUCAAUGCUUUUAGCAUCAAGAUAGAUGGACUCCAAAUCAUUGGGGCGCUUUUUAACCAAAGUGGAUUCAUAUCCAGCCCCAUCAUCAUUGGGUUUGACACAAGAAAACAAAGAUUCAAUGGGAGUCACACCAAGCACUUUAAGAUCUUCGUCAUUCUUAUCACGAGAACACGCCUUUUUUAGCCAUUCAUGUCUAGCACGAAUUUGGGUUGUUCUUUCUUUGCUCUCAAUCAUGGAAACACGCAUAGCUUUCAAAGUUUCAUCCAUAUUGAUCUUGGGAGGAGCACAUCUAACUUUCAAAGCAUCAAUAUCACUAGACAUUCUAUCAACGCUCUUAGCCAAAUCGUCAAUUUUGAGUAGUUUUUCCUCUAUGGACGCAUUGAAAUUUUUUUGCGAGUUGAUAAACUCUUUGAUAUUACUCUCUAGAUCAGAGGGUAAUCUAUUGUAAUUUACAUGAGUGUUGUUGUAGGAGUUGCCAAAGUUAUUAGAGGGGUUACUAGGAAAAGGCCUAGGAACAUAGUUUCCUCUAAAAGCAUUGUUGUUGCCAAAAUUAUUCCUACCAACAAAAUUAACGUCCAAGCUAGCGUUGCUGCUCUCAAUCAAGGAAGACAAGGGCAUAUCAUUAGGAUCUAAAGGAGCACUCCUACUAGCAACCAAAUUCAUUAACUCAUCCAUCUUAGCACUCAACGAGUUAAUUUCUUCUAUAGCGUGUAGUUUCUUACUAGUAGGUGACCUUUCAGUGUGCCACUGGGAGUAGUUCGUCAUGAAAUUGUCUAGGAGUUUCAUGGCUUCUCCUAACGUGAUUUCCAUGAACGUUCCAUCUGAGGCGGAGUCCAAGAUAUUUCUAGAAGCGAAAUUCAAGCCAGCGUAGAAGAUUUGUAUAAUCAUCCAAAGACUCAAGCCAUGAGCGGGACAAUUUCUAAUCAUCAAUUUCAUUCUCUCCCAAGAUUGUGCAACAUGUUCAUGAUCAAGUUGCUUAAAAUUCAUGAUAUCAUUAUGGAGAGAGAUAAUCUUAGCCGGCGGAAAGUACUUGGAAAUAUAAGCAUCUUUGCACUUAUCCCAAGAAUCAAUACUAUUUUUGGGCAAAGAUGAAAACCAAGUUUUUGCUCGACCUCGCAAUGAGAAAGGAAAAAAGCUUCAAUUUAAUCACAUCAUUAUCCUCAUCUUUCUUAUUUUGCAUAUCGCAAAGCUCAAUGAAGCUAUUGAGAUGUGAUGCGGCAUCUUCACUAGGAAGGCCGGAAAAUUGCUCUUUAAUACAAGAUUCAGCAAAGCGGCAUUGAUUUCGUAUGACUCCGCACUAGUAGUGGGAGCAAUCGGAGUACUAAUAAAAUCAUUAUUAUUAGUAUUCGAGAAGUCACAAAGUUUGGUGUUUUCAGUCAUGGUGACUUCAGCAAGCAAGCAAGCACACAAGCGAACAAAGAGUAUGCCAUUGGAGUGUGUUGUGAUGGAUUUCAUCCGUAGGACUCUAUUUCUUGUUUCGUUGUUUCCGGUUGAUCCGUAGCUCCGUUCGCCGCGUUCUUUAUAUGUUUGUGCAUCGUUUUCGUGUGAUGCAUCUGUUUAAGUCAUCCUCAUGCAUGUCAAGAUAGCUUAGGUUGCAGUUCUGCCCAGAAGUUUGUAUUUUCUUCUCAUUCAUGUGCAAGUGACUAGAAUAGUGAUGCAUUUUCAUUUUCAUCUCAUGCAUCAUGUGCUUGUUGCAUUUUGUUGUGUUGUUGUUCAUUGGAUGAUAUUUUUAUGUUGGGUAGCACCAGGAUCGGAGAGCGAUUACGUGGAUCCGAGAGAAUACGUGCAGGACGGACAAGAGCAGUUCUAUGCGGAGGACAUCACAGGCAAGAUGAUAUGACCUUUAUUCCAUCUCUAGACUUGUUAUGCUAGAUUCACGUUUCUUUCGUCAUAUGCUCGCUUCCUACCACUGAAACAAUUGCCUCCUGAUAUUGCCAUGAAACCCAAACAAUUUUCCCCUCCUAGCAAAUAUUGAAUGGCUAAGUAGGCUUGCUCAGCUAUUAAUGAUAGCAUUGCUAGUUGCAGGUGAAUUUGUCUCAUGUGAUAACAUGAGUUUGAUAUCAUUAUGUUAAAUCUGUUAUUUAAUUAUUGCACCUAUAUACUUGGUAAAUAACGGAAAGUCUAGACUUUUGCCGGGUGAUUUGUUCCGUUAUUGCCGCCAUAGUUUCCGGCUACCGGUGUUUGAUUCCUAUAACUGAUCGCUCCUAACACGUUCGGGGUUGUUAUGGGGACCCCCUUGAUAAAUCGUGUAGUGUUAAGACUUGUCCGGCAGGACCCAACAUUGGUGUUAAUUUGCUAAUCACUUAAUAAUAAUCUGCAUAGGGAAUAGCUACCCCGAGGAAUUAAUCAACAACCCGGGCCAGUGCUCCUCAUGAGUGUUGGUCCAAACCUGAGCACUGUUCGGGGCGAACUCAGGGCAACUUGAGUGAUUUCUAUCAGGCCAUCGUGCGCGUAGCUCAUCCGUCGUAUCCUGAGACUGAGAUACGCGGCACUUAUCGGGGUCGUCGACACGACGGGAGGUCCUGCUAGUCUUGUCUUACCUUAGCGAUAUAUCUUGUGUAUAGGAAUCCCGGUGAAGCUUUGGUUCUCCCGAGAGUUGAGGUUUUCCUCUAAGGAAUCCGACGAGAUCACGAGAUUCGUGAUAGAGGAUUACUUUGCGGCCCGUGACCGUUUAUGAUGGACUAGUUGGAGCACCCCUGCAGGGUUUAAUCUUUCGGAAAGUCAUGCCUGCGGUUAUGUGGCAAUUUGGAAUAUUUGUUAACAUCCGGUUCUAGAUAACUUGAACUAUUCUAAUAAAAUUGCCAACUGUGUGCGUAACCGUGACUGUCCUCUUCGAAGACCUCUCUUCGAUCGGGAACACGGUGGGGUUAUGUUUGACGUAAGUAGGUGUUCAGGAUCACUUAGUGAUCAGCUAGUCUUUGCCAGCUAGAAUAGACCACCAUCAAUGACUUGUUCUACGUAAGUUAGCCACCAUAAAUGCUUAGGAUGCUGCAACCUAAACACUGGACCUUCCUUAGCUAAUAACUUGACUAGUUCUCGCACCGAGGUCAUAGAUUGCUGAGUUCUCGUGGCUCACAGAUUACUUGAACACCCCAACAGAUACAGGUACGCCAGACACAGAUGAUCCUAACGGCACGCAGCUGGCAUGGCAGGAUGAUGAGGAGAACGACCGCUUGUACGUGAACUAUCCAGAAGACUAAGGCGUGGUCGUUAUCGUGGGCAAGCAUGCAGGGUAGCAUAGCCUUUUUCUCAUGUUAUGUAGUCCGUAGCGGAACUACCUUGUCUGAAUAAAUGUGUGAUGUAAACUAUGAUAUUAUCUAUGAGAUGGCAGAUGAUUCCCUGUUUGUCAUUCUAUUAUUAGGUAUGUGAUAUGUUACCGUGCUUGCGAAAUGCUUAGAUGCGCUUCUUUCCAUUUUGGGGCCUCGUUCCCUAAAUCGGAAAGGACCGCAUCUUAGUCGUUACAAAUCCUCCCUCGACUCCCUGCGAGGAAGCGAUCCCGGGGCAACUAAUUCCAGUUAAGUAACAAUAGUAGUUGUCAACUCCAAGUCUUCCUGUAACCGUGGACACGACUAUUCGAAUAGAUAAGUUCUUCCCUACAGGGGUGCACAAUAUAUUCCCUGACGCGCUAGAUAACACUCUGACCGGACAUACUUUUCUGGGUCAUGCCCGGCCUCGGAAUAUCGACACGUCGCAGCCCCACCUAAGCUCAGCAGAGAGGCCAGCCCGCCGGUCUAACUCCUAAGCACAAAGGGGUCGUGGGCCCACUUACCCUCCGCGCUCCUGCAUGAUGCGUGGGCGAGGUUAGUCCUAGCAUCCCUUAAUCACAAGCAUGAUGCAUCUUGGGACCACUCGGGCGCGCGUCGCACCAUUGCUGACAUCUGAAAAGCUUCGGCUGAUACCGCGGCGUCGAGUGCCCAUAAUUCUUCCCACGUAGACGGUUAGAGCAUAAUAAGGCCUUCCAACCAACCCAGAUCAAAUACCCAAAUCCAUUAUCAUUUUAAUUAGGACAUCGACACAAUCUCGCAGGAAUCCACCCGUCUAACAACUAAUCACCAAUGAUCCCAGUAACAUGGUCGAGUAACUGUGUGGUUGUAACAUCGGGGGGAAUCCAAGGUAUCACCCUCGGGGGUCCCACACUUGAGGGGUUGCACGACAGAGGAAUCGUCGGGAAUGGUGAAAGAGGAAUCACCCUCGAUAACCGCGACCGACUAGGUAUUCUACAGAGAUAUCAUCAUGAGUACUUAGCGAGGUGUCACCCUCGGUACCCGAUAUUAUCUCUGUAGCGUCGCACAACUAAGGGGGUGUAAGUGCGGUGCGGGGUCUGGCUCGUCGAUCAGGGAUCAAGAUUUGAAAGCAAAGCGGGGAAACUGGACUACGGUGUCAGAGGAGAAGACUGCUCCACCUAUACUAAACAGGUUAAAGGUGCAAUACUGAAAGUAGCAGUUCAUUAAAAACAAGCUAUGCAUCAGAUAUAGGAGCUAACUACAACAGUAGCAAAAUACUAAUGCAAGCAUGAGGGAGAAAUACAUAGGCGAUAUAGGGAUGAUCAAGGGGGUUUGCUUGCCUUGCUGCUCUGCGGCAAAGGGCUGGUCGCCAGGGACGCAGAUGUACCUGGUAGCAGCGUCACUCUCGGGGUCUACAAGAAAAGAAAAUAAUGAAGGGAAAAAACAAUAAAUAAGAGAGCAAGCAAACACAGCACAAAGCAUAACAAGGUAAUACACCGUGCUAGGGGUGACCUAACGCAAUACUAAACUUUAUAGACGAAGCGGGAAAAUAUCUCACGAUAUUUCCCGGGUCUUUGACUAUUUCCGAGCAGAUGACCUUAAUGCAAAAUGUCCAAGUUUAUCAUGCUAGAGGCAUGUGACAGAUGAACGGACAGCUUAUUCGGACCCAUUGGGUUUUUCUAAGCAACUUAUAUAUAUAAAUUAGUUUCAUUCGACUUACGGUUUAAUUUCUAUUAAUUUUCAAAGUUUUAAAUAUUUUAAAAUUGUUUAGAACGAGUUUGACCAAGUCAAUUUGACUAGUCAAAAAGGCAGGUGUGGCCUACAUGUCAUAGACUAUAACUAAACAUAUAAAUAAAAACUAACCUAAUUAAAUUAGGUCCACAUGUCAUAAGUUACUAGACUAAUUUAACACUAAUUAAUGCUACCUCAAUCUAGUACUAAUCUAAACAAAAGCUGGCCAUUACUGGGCGGAACCUAGCCAUCCACACACAACACGCACUCAUGCAUAUACACUACACACACUCACGCUAACACACUACACACACGCGUGGCCAUGGGCUGCAGCUGUAGGCAGCGGCAAGAGCUAUUAGCAGUAGCCAGUGGCACUCGCAGUCAGCAGGCGCGCGCGGGCGAGGGAAGCGGCAACACAACAGGCAGUAGGGGAGCGCGACAGCGGACGACGGCGGUGCAGAGCAGCAGCGGGUAGCGCGACGGCGCCAGGCGCGGGAAGGCUCGGCUAGGCACGGGCGGGCGUGUAGGGUGUGUGGACAGUGGCUUGGCCAGCUGCGGGCGCCCACGGCCAAGGCAGCAGGCAGGCGCGAGCAGCAGGAGUAGCAAGCAGAAUCAGUAGGCAGUGAGCAACAACAGUGAGUAGCAGCAUCAGCACGACGAGCAGUUCUAGAGCAACGACAUCACUAGAAGAAGCAGCAGUAAGCAAGCGACAGCAAAGCAGUAGCAGGCACGACGCACGCACGUACGCGUACACUCGGGGACAGUGACAAACGGCGAAGAAUCGAGCCGGUAAACGAUUGGAAUCGGGCGAGGAACUCAACACGGAGCUCAUGGACGUGGUUAGGGAGCGCGGGGGCGACCGGACGCGAUGAGUUCGACGAUGCAGUGUGACGACCGUGGCGGAAAACAGUCUCGAUGUUGAGCGUACGGGCCGUCCCGAUUUGAGCUGGUCCCCGGAAAGGACGGAUCCGGUCGCGGCGGACCUCCUGGACGUGCUUCCGCACGCCGAAGAGGCCGUUGGACGCGUCAACGACGGCGAGGCAGCGGUGACCACGAAUUUUUCGAGCUCGAAUUCGAUCCUAAAGGGGAGGGGGCUCGAUGGGGAACGAGAGGGG
RNAcentral lists this long non-coding RNA (10001 nucleotides) under Hordeum vulgare. RNAcentral describes it as "long non-coding RNA (HVUL_LNC007500)". Lineage: Eukaryota; Viridiplantae; Streptophyta; Magnoliopsida; Poales; Poaceae. The record is from RNAcentral.